This 377-nucleotide long non-coding RNA is filed under the name Setaria viridis. Its description in RNAcentral is "long non-coding RNA (SVIR_LNC007984)". Lineage: Eukaryota; Viridiplantae; Streptophyta; Magnoliopsida; Poales; Poaceae. The record is from RNAcentral.
AUCGGCUCCCGCAGAAGCACAAGCACGCACCACUCUGAUGACUGUCCUAGGGAUCUAGAACCACUUGCAGAUGCAAUCGCCAUGAAUGAAAGAACUAGAUCUAAGUGCUAUCGUGAGCGGAUGUGAACCACACCCAACACUUUCACUCUCACAUAUUGUCAGUACGCAAGGGUAAUCAACUAUUGGAUAAUAAGAACACAGCAUGAUGAUCGUUCUAGGUAAGCAAUAAAGCAACCCGAAGUAGCGCUGGUCAGCCAUUAUGUGAAAGAGCAUCAUCAAGAUAUGAUUGAUAAAAAAUAAAUCUUAAACACAAGGUUCAGCAAUUACAAAUCAAGACCUCCAUACAACCCCGAGGACAAAUAAACACUUUACCCCAC